UACGAAGGGUGCAAGCGUUGUUCGGAAUUACUGGGCGUAAAGCGCGCGUAGGCGGUUUGGUAAGUUGGAAGUGAAAUCCCGGGGCUUAACUCCGGAAUUGCUUUCAAAACUGCCAAGCUAGAGUGUGAUAGGGGACAGUGGAAUUCCUAGUGUAGAGGUGAAAUUCGUAGAUAUUAGGAGGAACACCAGUGGCGAAAGCGACUGUCUGGAUCACUACUGACGCUGAGGCGCGAAAGCGUGGGGAGCAAACAGG
Molecule: ribosomal RNA, 253 nt
Filed under: uncultured bacterium
Lineage: Bacteria
Description: partial 16S ribosomal RNA
Rfam family: Bacterial small subunit ribosomal RNA
Source: RNAcentral